GACGAACGCUGGCGGCGUGCUUAACACAUGCAAGUCGAACGAUGAAGCCCAGCUUGCUGGGUGGAUUAGUGGCGAACGGGUGAGUAACACGUGGGCAACCUGCCCCAAACUCUGGGAUAACUCCUCGAAAGAGGUGCUAAUACCGGGUACGAACUAGGUAGACAUCUGCACUAGUUGGAAAGUUUUUCGGUUUGGGAUGGGCCCGCGGCCUAUCAGCUUGUUGGUGAGGUAACGGCUCACCAAGGCUACGACGGGUAACCGGCCUGAGAGGGCGACCGGUCACACUGGGACUGAGACAUGGCCCAGACUCCUACGGGAGGCAGCAGUGGGGAAUAUUGCGCAAUGGGCGAAAGCCUGACGCAGCGACGCCGCGUGAGGGAUGAAGGUCUUCGGAUCGUAAACCUCUUUCAGAAGGGACGAAGCGAAAGUGACGGUACCUAAAGAAGAAGCACCGGCUAACUACGUGCCAGCCGCCGCAGUAA
Molecule: ribosomal RNA, 482 nt
Filed under: uncultured bacterium
Lineage: Bacteria
Description: partial 16S ribosomal RNA
Rfam family: Bacterial small subunit ribosomal RNA
Source: RNAcentral